Molecule: long non-coding RNA, 3038 nt
Organism: Sapajus apella (tufted capuchin)
Lineage: Eukaryota; Metazoa; Chordata; Mammalia; Primates; Cebidae
Exons: 2
Source: RefSeq, a predicted model, not a curated record
CCUUUUCCAACAGUUCCUGAACUAAUCUCAGGCAAAUGCCUGCAUUUCCUCAUUACAUUAUCCUGCCUGAGUUACUUUCAGCUAAGAAACAUAAAACAAAAAAUCGCAUGCUGUUUCUUCAGGUUUCAGUUAAACUACUCGCCCAUUUUAUUUAUUCUGUGGCCUUAAAUUCUAAGAUGCAUUGUCUUUUUCAUUUUUCAGCAUUUAAAAAUAUGCGAUUUGGAAUUGACAUGAACCUGCAGUGUGAGUGUCUACCCACCUUGGAGCUGUUGUCAAGUCCGGGAUGCUUCAAACAAUCACUGGCAUUGUAGAAGCAAGAGAAUGCGACCAUUUUCUGUUCCUUUUGAAAACGUCGAUGAAAAGCCAGGAUAGAGGCUCUUUUUGCACUUUGAAUUUUCACAGUUAUGUAGUGGCAGAGAUUAUGGAAAAAGUACAGCUCUCACUUAGGAAGGCUAGGGUCCAAAUCCCUGGAUGGCUGUGAAGACGCUGCCUGCAUUCCAGGGUGGACAGUGUCUUCACAGCUGUCCCGUCCUGUGGGCUCCACUGUGGGCUCCUCCAUGGGCUUCUCCGUGGGCUCCUCCGUGGGCUCCUCUGUGGGCUUCACUGCACUGCCUGGAUCUCCAUCCCUGGUUACCAAGCUCUGCACGCCCAGUUCCUCCUGAAAGCUGCCUCCUCCUCUCUGCUCUAACAGUGACAUAGUCGUCGCUGGAGGGUCUCAUGGCACUUGCAGACCGCUCGAGUGUGGACACUCACUCUCCACCCCUACCCAAGCCGCCAGUGUCCUCCAGGUCCCUAAUGUGGCUCUACCUGCAGGUAUAAUCUGCUGCUGCUUGGAGGGUCGGGGCAUUCAGCUUCACCCCCGGCUAUCCUUCUCAUUGCUCUCAUCCAGGACAUCCCCCUUCUCUGGGGACCUUGAUCGCCAUCUCCACCUCCUCCCCACCCCAAGCUCUGCUGCCAUCUUUGCCUCACCAGGCCGACAUCCUGAGUCAUGACUGGACUCCAGCCUAGGCAACAACACAGAACUCUCUCUCAAAAGAAAAACAUAACAAAAAAAAAAAAAAAAAAAAACUCAACAAGAAAAACUGGCACAGAGGAUAGGGAAAUAGAUAUUUAAACAAAUCAUUACAAAGUGUGCAAAAAGAAUUAAAUAUCUUCACCCUUUUUACUGUUUUCCAACCUUGUAUCAUUUUGCUCUUUUUUCUUUCUCUAAGGAAUUAUCUCUUGCCCUCUGGUCUCAGGUUGACUAUGUAGGUAAUUAACAGUUAUUAAUAAUUAACAGUUCUACUCCGCCACAGAGCAGACUUUCAUUACAACCUGAGUGAUUUUAAGGAUACUGAGUUAAAGCUCUGAAUUGAACAAAAACUGAGUAAGGUUCUCACUGAUGUCACCAUAAAAACCCUCCAGGGAGGUAGCAGUUCCUUGAAAAGAAGCCAAAUUUAACUUAGUCAACAGCACAAGUUAAGAGGUUAGAAAACAUUCAGCAGGCAACUCCCUCUCUGAUACUAAGCAUUUAAAACAUUUGCACAUGUGUAAAAUUUGCACCAGCGUGAUGCACAGAGCAAGGACACUGACCACAGAGCUGGAUAACUGAGGUACAGCCUGGACGAGAGCCUGAGAAAGGUCUGCCACCCACUCUGUGACUCCUUGAGGGGUCACUCGCAAUGCUAUGGAAAUCAGGGUCUGGAGAGUACACACACCUGGCUUGUGCCAGGCUUUGCCCCCUGGAAGGUAUGUGGGUUUGGGCCAAACCUCACAAAGCCUCUGCUUAGUCAAUAAUAAUAAUACUAGUAGUAGAUAAUAAUGCACUAAAUGUGAUACAAGUUGAAUAUCCCUUAUCUGAGAUGCUUAGGACGAGAAGUGUUGUGCUUUUCAAAUUCUGGAAUAUCUGCGUUAUACUUACCUGCAGAGAACCUCUAAUCUGAACAUCCAAAAUCCGAAAUGCUCCAACAAGCAUUUCCUUUGAGCAUCAGGUCAGCCCUCAACAUUAGUUUCAGAUGAUUUUGGAGCAUUCCAGAUUUCGGGUUUUCAGAUUAGGAAUGCUCAACCUAUAACAAUAACAUCAACCUCAUAGAGAGGAUUACUGAGAUAAAACAGGUCAUGCAUGCAGUAAACAAGCUAUACAUUCUCAAGUUUUAAAAAAAAAUUUUAAAUUUUUCACACAGUAAAAUUCACUUGUUGUGCAGUUCUAUGGGCUUUCAUAUCCACAUGGAUUCUUGUAACCAUCACCACAAACAGGAUACAGAACAAUUCUAAGGCCCCUUAAGAAUUCCCUUGGUCUCUUUAUUUCUAAUCAGGCCCUUCCCCAGCCCCACUCCCAACUCCUAAACCCUGCCCCUAGAGGUCUCUCUUCCAGGGCAUCAUAUGAAUAGGACGCUACAGCUGUAGCCUUUUGAGACUGGUUUAUUUCACUCAGUACAAUGCAUUUGAGAUGCAGUCACAUUGUUGUUUAUAUUAAUAGUUUGCUCCUUAUUACUGAGUCGUGUUCCAUUAUGUGAAUGUACUAUAGUUAGUUAUUCUAUCCACUCAGGGAAGGAAGGACAUUCAAAUUAUUUUCAGUUUUAGGAAAUUAUGAAUAAAGCUGCUAUAAAUAUUCAUUACAGUUUUGUGAGAUAUAACUUCUUAUUUCUAUAGGAUAAAUAAGUAUCUAGGAGUGGAACUGCCAGGUCACAUGGCAAGGAUAACAUUUAACUUCAAAAGCCACUGCCACUGUCUUCCAGAGGGCUCUACUGUCACAUCCCCACCAGCGAUACUGGUACGUCCCAACAGAGAUGUAUGAGAAACGGGCCUGCUCCACCUUCUUGGCAGCACUUGGUGUUGUCAGUAUUCUUUAUCUUAGCUAUAGUAGGUAUGCGAUGCUUGGGUUUUUUUCUUUUUUGGAAGAUAGAACAUUUAUAUGAGACUGUGUUUAAUUAUCUACUUUUGAUACAGUUUAGAUGUUUGCCUCCUCCAAAUCUCAUGUUGAAAUGUGCUCCCCAAUGGUGGAGGUGGUGCCUGGUGGGCGGUGUUUGGGUUAUGGGGACAGAUCCCUCACAAAUAGC